RNAcentral lists this ribosomal RNA (323 nucleotides) under uncultured eukaryote. Its description in RNAcentral is "partial 18S ribosomal RNA". It matches the Rfam family "Eukaryotic small subunit ribosomal RNA", at positions 1470 to 1796 of the family's 1831-position model. The record is from RNAcentral.
CCCUUAGAUGUUCUGGGCCGCACGCGUGCUACACUGAGUGGAUCAGCGGGUCAGGUUGCGCGAAAGUGUUUCCUAAUCUUGAAAUCCGCUCGUGAUGGGGAUUGACGGUUGCAAUUUUCCGUCAUGAACGAGGAAUACCUUGUAAGCGCGGGUCAUCAUCCCGCGCUGAAUACGUCCCUGCCCUUUGUACACACCGCCCGUCGCACCUACCGAUUGAAUGGUCCGGUGAAAUCUUCGGAUUGAGACUUUGAUUUCUUCACGGAAAACGCUGUUUUAAGAAGUUGAUUAAACCUUACCAUUUAGAGGAAGGUGAAGUCGUAACA